UUGACCUCGAAUCAGGUAGGAAUACCCGCUGAACUUAAGCAUAUCAAUAAGCGGAGGAAAAGAAACCAACAGGGAUUGCCCCAGUAACGGCGAGUGAAGCGGCAACAGCUCAAAUUUGAAAUCUGGCUCUCGGGCCCGAGUUGUAAUUUGUAGAGGAUGCUUUUGGUGAGGUGCCUUCCGAGUUCCCUGGAACGGGACGCCAUAGAGGGUGAGAGCCCCGUCUGGUUGGACACCGAUCCUCUGUAAAGCUCCUUCGACGAGUCGAGUAGUUUGGGAAUGCUGCUCUAAAUGGGAGGUAUAUGUCUUCUAAAGCUAAAUACCGGCCAGAGACCGAUAGCGCACAAGUAGAGUGAUCGAAAGAUGAAAAGAACUUUGAAAAGAGAGUUAAACAGUACGUGAAAUUGUUGAAAGGGAAGCGCUUGUGACCAGACUUGGGCUUGGUUGAUCAUCCGGGGUUCUCCCCGGUGCACUCUUCCGGCUCAGGCCAGCAUCAGUUCGCCCUGGGGGAUAAAGGCUUCGGGAAUGUGGCUCUCUCCGGGGAGUGUUAUAGCCCGCUGCGUAAUACCCUGUGGCGGACUGAGGUUCGCGC
RNAcentral lists this ribosomal RNA (589 nucleotides) under Fusarium sp. NRRL 43527. RNAcentral's name for it is "eukaryotic LSU rRNA". It matches the Rfam family "Eukaryotic large subunit ribosomal RNA", at positions 1 to 600 of the family's 3401-position model. Lineage: Eukaryota; Fungi; Ascomycota; Sordariomycetes; Hypocreales; Nectriaceae. RNAcentral also lists the same sequence under 4 other names. The record is from RNAcentral.